GCCGGGUGCGGUGGCGCGCGCCUGUAAUCCAAGUUACCGGGAGGCUGAGGCUGGAGGAGCGUUUGAGCUCAGGAGCUCUGGGCUGCAGCGGACUAUGUCGAUCGGGUGUCCGCACUAAGUUCGGUAUCGAUAUGGUGCUCCAGGGGGGAGCCCGGGAUCACCAGGUCGUCUAAGGAGGGGUGCACCGGCCCAGGUCGGACACGGAGCAGGUCAAAGCCCCCGUGCCGCUCAGUAGUGGGAUCGCGCCCGUGAAUGGACGCUGUAGUUCAGCCUGAGUAAGACAGCGGGACCCAGUCUUUA
Molecule: signal recognition particle RNA, 300 nt
Filed under: Echeneis naucrates (live sharksucker)
Lineage: Eukaryota; Metazoa; Chordata; Actinopteri; Carangiformes; Echeneidae
Description: Metazoan signal recognition particle RNA (ENSENLG00000000284.1)
Rfam family: Metazoan signal recognition particle RNA
About the family: The signal recognition particle (SRP) is a universally conserved ribonucleoprotein. It is involved in the co-translational targeting of proteins to membranes. The eukaryotic SRP consists of a 300-nucleotide 7S RNA and six proteins: SRPs 72, 68, 54, 19, 14, and 9.
Source: Rfam by way of RNAcentral